GUCCCGACUUCCCCGGUGAUAAUAUGGGCUUCCAUGUUGAGAGUCUGCCGGAGUCCUCAGCGAAAUUAUUCCGUGGACACGACUUCCUGAAUUCGAAACGCCUCCAGUUGUGACAGGAGUAUUGUCGGAAAGGGAUUAGGAGAAAAUGUCAAGCUUUAGUGAAGUUACAAAAUUGCCCACUGUCUCAAACAAAGCAAGCAUAACAGCUGCAGAAGGUGACAUUGGAGUUAUUCGGACACCCAAAGCCUACGAUUUAAAGCAGAAUCAAGAAGGAGGCUUCUGUAGGAGAGAGAGAGAGACAGUGUGAGCAGGGGAGGGUCAGAGAGAGAGA
This is a long non-coding RNA of Hyaena hyaena (striped hyena), 331 nucleotides long. RefSeq lists it as uncharacterized. NCBI's taxonomy places the organism in Eukaryota, Metazoa, Chordata, Mammalia, Carnivora, Hyaenidae. The record is from RefSeq and is a predicted model, not a curated record. The transcript is spliced from 3 exons.